Molecule: ribosomal RNA, 556 nt
Filed under: uncultured Glomeromycotina
Lineage: Eukaryota; Fungi; Glomeromycota
Description: SSU rRNA
Rfam family: Eukaryotic small subunit ribosomal RNA
Source: RNAcentral
UUGGAGGGCAAGUCUGGUGCCAGCAGCCGCGGUAAUUCCAGCUCCAAUAGCGUAUAUUAAAGUUGUCGCAGUUAAAAAGCUCGUAGUUGAAUUUCGGGAUUGACGUGAUGGUCAUGCCUUAAGGGGUAUGAACUGUUACUGUUGAUUUCUCACCUUCUGGAGAAACUUGAUGUCCUUUAUUGGGUGUCUUGCGGAUCCAGGACCUUUACCUUGAAAAAAUUAGAGUGUUUAAAGCAGGCAUUUUUGCUCGAAUACAUUAGCAUGGAAUAAUAGAAUAGGACGGCAUGGUUCUAUUUUGUUGGUUUCUAGGAUCACCGUAAUGAUUAAUAGGGAUAGUUGGGGGCAUUAGUAUUCAAUUGUCAGAGGUGAAAUUCUUGGAUUUAUUGAAGACUAACUACUGCGAAAGCAUUUGCCAAGGAUGUUUUCAUUAAUCAAGAACGAAAGUUAGGGGAUCGAAGACGAUCAGAUACCGUCGUAGUCUUAACCAUAAACUAUGCCGACUAGGAAUCAGACGAUGUUAACUUUUUAAUGACUCGUUCGGCGCCUUACGGGAAAC